GAACCUAUAUUUAUAAUGUCUAAGAGGUCCCUAUUCAUGCUUAUUUAAGGGAGUUUUUAGACCACAUGUAAAGGAUUGAUUAAUAUUAAAUUUGAGAGACAUCAUUGUGUGCAUUUGUGAGCUUUGUUUUGUAAGAGUGUUCUAGUCUUAGCAUUAUUUAGAACCUUGGUUCAAGUGGCUACAAGAACCACUUAUCUUGGGUGGCCUAGUAUGCCAAGUGGUGUGCCUUCCUUUCUCUUCCUUUCCCC
RNAcentral lists this long non-coding RNA (248 nucleotides) under Vigna radiata. RNAcentral describes it as "long non-coding RNA (VRAD_LNC013288)". Lineage: Eukaryota; Viridiplantae; Streptophyta; Magnoliopsida; Fabales; Fabaceae. The record is from RNAcentral.